Molecule: long non-coding RNA, 624 nt
Organism: Zophobas morio
Lineage: Eukaryota; Metazoa; Arthropoda; Insecta; Coleoptera; Tenebrionidae
Exons: 3
Source: RefSeq, a predicted model, not a curated record
UUUUUCAUUGGUGCCCCCACUUUAUUUCACACGGCCAUUACCUUGAGUUUGACGUUGGUCAAUGUUAAUACAAGUUGAAUUUUAUUACCAAUUUGCGGGAUAAAUCUACUGUUCUUCACAGUGAAAAAUUGUAAGAUGUAGGAGGUAAUAGGAUUCAAAAUAAUGGGUUUUUGUGCACCAAACUGACGUUUGAAUGAAGGUAUUCUGUCGUUAUCCUACUAGAAGAACCCAAUGGACAACAAAUAAUGGUAGAGCAAAUCAGACAGCAAAAGAUUGAGGAAUAUUUUGCCAUAUUUAAUACAUCAAUGUUCCUGGAGACUCUGAAAAGUUCGUGGAACCAUCUAGUUCGAGUCCAUUGUGAAACUUAGAAAUGAAUUCUUUGUAUGCCUGGUGUGAAUAUGAGGAAAUGUUAAAACGUACAGAUGGAAUUGCCAAUCCACAUAUGUUUUUAUUGAACAAGUGUAUAGUGAUCGAGUGCAUUUUGAACUGUGAUAAUUUAAAAACUAAACUAAUUCAUAGGUUUAUUACUUUUAGUUUUAAGCAAAAAAAUUACAAUAUCCCAACUUUGCAGGGACAGUAAAAGCAUGUUAUAAAAUAACUGGUAAUUACUCUUUGUUUUUCUUU